This 269-nucleotide ribosomal RNA is filed under the name uncultured soil bacterium. RNAcentral describes it as "partial 16S ribosomal RNA". It matches the Rfam family "Bacterial small subunit ribosomal RNA", at positions 26 to 324 of the family's 1533-position model. The record is from RNAcentral.
AGAACGAACGCUGGCGGCAUGCCUAAUACAUGCAAGUCGAACGAACACUUCGGUGUUAGUGGCGCACGGGUGCGUAACGCGUGGGAAUCUGCCCUUGGGUUCGGAAUAACAGUUGGAAACGACUGCUAAUACCGGAUGAUGACGAAAGUCCAAAGAUUUAUCGCCCAGGGAUGAGCCCGCGUAGGAUUAGCUAGUUGGUGAGGUAAAGGCUCACCAAGGCGACGAUCCUUAGCUGGUCUGAAAGGAUGAUCAGCACACUGGACGUGAGA